UACGGAGGAUGCGAGCGUUAUCCGGAUUUAUUGGGUUUAAAGGGUGCGCAGGCGGGCUGUUAAGCCGGCGGUAAAAAUUCAGGGCUCAACCCUGUCGAGCCGUCGGAACUGGGUGCCUUGAGUGGGCGAGAAGUAUGCGGAAUGCGUGGUGUAGCGGUGAAAUGCAUAGAUAUCACGCAGAACCCCGAUUGCGAAGGCAGCAUACCGGCGCCCUACUGACGCUGAGGCACGAAAGUGCGGGUAUCGAACAGG
This 252-nucleotide ribosomal RNA is filed under the name uncultured Bacteroidales bacterium. RNAcentral's name for it is "partial 16S ribosomal RNA". It matches the Rfam family "Bacterial small subunit ribosomal RNA", at positions 524 to 776 of the family's 1533-position model. Lineage: Bacteria; Pseudomonadati; Bacteroidota; Bacteroidia; Bacteroidales. The record is from RNAcentral.